This 250-nucleotide ribosomal RNA is filed under the name uncultured prokaryote. RNAcentral's name for it is "partial 16S ribosomal RNA". It matches the Rfam family "Bacterial small subunit ribosomal RNA", at positions 524 to 773 of the family's 1533-position model. The record is from RNAcentral.
UACGUAGGGGGCAAGCGUUAUCCGGAAUUACUGGGUGUAAAGGGUGCGUAGGCGGCACACUAAGUCAGCUGUGAAACCCCGCGGCUCAACCGCGGACUUGCAGUUGAAACUGGUGAGCUUGAGUACAGGAGGGGAAAGCGGAAUUACUAGUGUAGCGGUGAAAUGCGUAGAUAUUAGUAAGAACACCGGAGGCGAAGGCGGCUUUCUGGACUGAAACUGACGCUGAGGCACGAAAGCGUGGGGAGCAAAC